RNAcentral lists this small RNA (166 nucleotides) under uncultured Acetatifactor sp. RNAcentral describes it as "Clostridiales-1 RNA". It matches the Rfam family "Clostridiales-1 RNA". Lineage: Bacteria; Bacillati; Bacillota; Clostridia; Lachnospirales; Lachnospiraceae. The record is from RNAcentral.
GAUACCAGGGUUCCAAGCUCUUAUACACGCAUGAGCUUGCUCAUAUGCGUGUAUAAGAAUUUGGAACCCGCCAAAAUAUGAGCAUAAAAGUGGGACGAUAGUCCCACGAUAUGCGAAUAUUUUGUAGGAUUGUGAGAGCACGAAGUGCGACCAAUCCGUAGGUAUC